This 253-nucleotide ribosomal RNA is filed under the name uncultured bacterium. RNAcentral describes it as "partial 16S ribosomal RNA". It matches the Rfam family "Bacterial small subunit ribosomal RNA", at positions 524 to 776 of the family's 1533-position model. The record is from RNAcentral.
UACAGAGGGUGCAAACGUUAAUCGGAUUUACUGGGCGUAAAGCGUGAGUAGGUGGCUCGCCAAGUCGAUUGUGAAAGCCCUGGGCUCAACCUGGGAAUUGCAGUCGAUACUGGUGAACUAGAGUUCGGUAGAGGGUGACGGAAUUCCCGGUGUAGCGGUGAAAUGCGUAGAUAUCAGGAAGAACACCCGUGGCUAAGGCGGUUCUCUAGUACGGUACUGACGCUGAGACGCGAAAGCGUGGGGAGCGAACAGG